RNAcentral lists this ribosomal RNA (465 nucleotides) under uncultured bacterium. Its description in RNAcentral is "bacterial SSU rRNA". It matches the Rfam family "Bacterial small subunit ribosomal RNA", at positions 198 to 644 of the family's 1533-position model. The record is from RNAcentral.
GGAGGAAAGCAGGGGAUCGCAAGACCUUGCGCUUUUGGAGCGGCCGAUGUCUGAUUAGCUUGUUGGUAAGGUAAAAGCUUACCAAGGCUUCGAUCAGUAGCUGGUCUGAGAGGACGACCAGCCACACUGGGACUGAGACACGGCCCAGACUCCUACGGGAGGCAGCAGUGGGGAAUUUUGGACAAUGGGGGCAACCCUGAUCCAGCCAUGCCGCGUGAGUGAAGAAGGCCUUCGGGUUGUAAAGCUCUUUCAGCCGGAACGAAACGGUUACGGUUAAUACCCGUGACUACUGACGGUACCGGAAGAAGAAGCACCGGCUAACUACGUGCCAGCAGCCGCGGUAAUACGUAGGGUGCGAGCGUUAAUCGGAAUUACUGGGCGUAAAGCGUGCGCAGGUGGUUUUGUAAGUCAGAUGUGAAAUCCCCGGGCUCAACCUGGGAACUGCGUUUGAAACUACAAAGCUAG